Molecule: ribosomal RNA, 365 nt
Filed under: Escherichia coli
Lineage: Bacteria; Pseudomonadati; Pseudomonadota; Gammaproteobacteria; Enterobacterales; Enterobacteriaceae
Description: bacterial SSU rRNA
Rfam family: Bacterial small subunit ribosomal RNA
Source: RNAcentral
AAAUUGAAGAGUUUGAUCAUGGCUCAGAUUGAACGCUGGCGGCAGGCCUAACACAUGCAAGUCGAACGGUAACAGGAAGAAGCUUGCUUCUUUGCUGACGAGUGGCGGACGGGUGAGUAAUGUCUGGGAAACUGCCUGAUGGAGGGGGAUAACUACUGGAAACGGUAGCUAAUACCGCAUAACGUCGCAAGACCAAAGAGGGGGACCUUCGGGCCUCUUGCCAUCGGAUGUGCCCAGAUGGGAUUAGCUAGUAGGUGGGGUAACGGCUCACCUAGGCGACGAUCCCUAGCUGGUCUGAGAGGAUGACCAGCCACACUGGAACUGAGACACGGUCCAGACUCCUACGGGAGGCAGCAGUGGGGAAU